This 330-nucleotide ribosomal RNA is filed under the name uncultured soil bacterium. RNAcentral's name for it is "bacterial SSU rRNA". It matches the Rfam family "Bacterial small subunit ribosomal RNA", at positions 26 to 355 of the family's 1533-position model. The record is from RNAcentral.
AGAUUGAACGCUGGCGGCAUGCCUUACACAUGCAAGUCGAACGGCAGCACGGGAGCAAUCCUGGUGGCGAGUGGCGAACGGGUGAGUAACACAUCGGAACGUGCCCAAUCGUGGGGGAUAACUACGCGAAAGCGUAGCUAAUACCGCAUACGAUCUAUUGAUGAAAGCAGGGGAUCGCAAGACCUUGCGCGAAUGGAGCGGCCGAUGGCAGUAUUAGGUAGUUGGUGAGGUAAAGGCCCACCAAGCCUUCGAUCUGUACGCUGGUCUGAGACGGACGACCAGCCACACUGGACUGAGACACCGGCCCAGACUCCUACGGGAGCAGCAGGU